UGGCAAAGCAGCCCUUGGCUGAUUGCUUGACUUGUCAGAGUCUAAGUUAAGAAAAUCAUUGUUAGGUUUCCAGUAAUUAUUUUUGAGUCAAAAUGGAUGCUUUGAAAUAAAACCGUGAUGCAACGGAGCAGACUUUACAGUUGGCGGUAGUGCGUUCCCGGUGGGACAGCACUGCCGCCAGGAGGCUUGGCUGGGGGCGGGGGGUCCCGCUGAGUGAAGCAGCACACGUGGCGUUGUUUAUCUCCCAGUUUCCUCCCUUGAGUUGAAGCCCGGAAUAUCUCUCCCGUGCUUCUGCCCUUUGGCUUCAGUGCUAGAGCUCCCGUGUUAGGUUUCUUUUGAUCCUUCCGGUGUCACUCAGGCACGGGGAUCAUGAGUGACCUU
RNAcentral lists this long non-coding RNA (381 nucleotides) under Bos taurus (domestic cattle). RNAcentral's name for it is "long non-coding RNA NONBTAT017722". Lineage: Eukaryota; Metazoa; Chordata; Mammalia; Artiodactyla; Bovidae. The record is from RNAcentral.